GGUUGCGAUCAUACCAGCACUAAUGCACCGGAUCCCAACAGAACUCCGCAGUUAAGCGUGCUUGGGCGAGAGUAGUACUAGGAUGGGUGACCCCCUGGGAAGUCCUCGUGUUGCAACCCC
Molecule: ribosomal RNA, 120 nt
Filed under: Helianthus annuus (common sunflower)
Lineage: Eukaryota; Viridiplantae; Streptophyta; Magnoliopsida; Asterales; Asteraceae
Source: RNAcentral